GCUGGGCAUGGUGGUGUGUGCCUGUAGUCCCAGCUACUUGGGAGGCUGAGGCAGGAGAAUCGCUUGAACCCAGGAGGCAUAGGUUGCAGUGAGCUGAGAUCGCGCCACUGCACUCCAGCCUGGGUGACAGCGAGACUCUGUCUCAA
RNAcentral lists this non-coding RNA (146 nucleotides) under Cercocebus atys (sooty mangabey). Lineage: Eukaryota; Metazoa; Chordata; Mammalia; Primates; Cercopithecidae. The record is from Rfam by way of RNAcentral.